UGUCAGUCAGUCCCUCUGGUGAAAUAGUGGAGGGCAGUUCAGUGACUCUGACCUGCAGCAGUGAUGCCAACCCACCUGUGGACAAAUACACCUGGUACAAGAAGAAUGUAACCUCACCAAAAGCAUCAGGACAGAGUUACAGCAUCACUAACAUCAGCUCUGAGGACAGAGGAGAAUACUACUGUGAGACCCAGAAUGGAAGAGGAUCUAUGAACUCUACAGCUCUGAUGAUCAUUGUAGCAGGGAAACAGACCUCAGUUGUGACUGCAGCUGUAGGAAUCAUAGUGGUUGUUCUGGUUCUCAUACUCUGUUCCUCUGGCUUCAUGUGGUUCAGUGUGUCCGUCCUGACUGUAACAGUGACAUGUACACAGCUCUGAACAUGAGGACCAGGUCACCAGAUUAUGACACCCUGGCAAAUGUGAGGGGACCCUCCCACUGAAGAGAAUCACCACAGAAGCUGGACCGAAGAGAAUCACCACAGAAGCUGGACUGAAGAGAACCACCACAGAAUCUGGACUGAAGAGAAUCACCACCGAAUCUGGACUGAAGAGAAGCACCACAGAAUCUGGACUGAAGAGAAGCACCACAGAAGCUGGACUGAAGAGAAGCACCACAGAAGCUGGACUGAAGAGCUACUGUUCCAAUCCAAAGCCAGGCCUCACACCUCUAUUCUCUUGCUAUUACAUCUAGAUGGUUUUCCA
Molecule: long non-coding RNA, 701 nt
Filed under: Salmo salar (Atlantic salmon)
Lineage: Eukaryota; Metazoa; Chordata; Actinopteri; Salmoniformes; Salmonidae
Description: lncRNA (ENSSSAG00000001422.2)
Source: RNAcentral